GUUUGAGUUAGCGCCGGAACGGGAGGUGUGCUGUGAGGAAGGGGUGGAAGGAGAGAUGGAGGAGGAAUUGAGGGAUAGAGAGAGGGAGAGGGAAGGCGCUCUGCCGUUCUCAGCUGCAGACUUCUACGGAAUGUUUCCACGGGGAGAGCCCCGCAGCAGCCCCGGGCAGGCGGGCAUUCCCUGCCGGCACAGCCUUCGGAGACCUGGCGGACAAAGAGAGCUCUGUGAGGAUCCAAACGUCAGCCCCGAGCGAACCGAGGGAAUUCCGCACGAGUGCCCGACUGCACGAAAAAAAAAAAAAAAAAAAAAAAAAAAAAAAAAAAAAGUAAGAGCGGACAGCGGUCCCUCGGUCAGAAACACACUCAUGUUUCCGCUUCUUGGAGAGGGCAUUUAAGUUUAGUUAGGAUACUUGAAGGGAGAUGCAGAGAUGCAGUGCGUGAGUACGCGGUGUGCAGCCCUAGGAACGGCUGUGUUGAGGUCCACAGAGAUGCUCUGGAACAGCUCAUAGAAAAAGUGUAAAUAAUGUCAGCAGAAAAGGAGAGAAACUUUGGUCCUAACAGAGAACAUCACUCGUUUCUAAGCCACCGGCUACAUCUCACCCUGCCGCCUCGCCGUCUGAAGUUCCCCGGGAAGUUCUCCCAAACAUCAUGACGCACCGCAGUCUCCAAAAGGCGAAGGGAAAGAGGAGGACAGAAUGCUCUAAUCUACGCCCCGCCAGUACGGUAUCUGUAGUUCACCGAAUCCCCGCAUACGCGGCGUCUCCUCCCGGCGGAGUGAGACAGCAUCACUGCAAAGCCGUGAGAGCGCCUUGCACUUACAGGUCAGACGGCAGCGGCUGCGACCCGAGAUGAGGGCCGCGCCAUCCCUCCGGCCGCCAGCCUACCUUCCCUCUCUCCGCGCCCAGAACCUGCGAUGCACUACAGAGCGGCGCCCGGAUGAAUGCUGCCCCCUCAUCGGCUCAACGCUCCUCUGUCAUGCAACGCUUUGGGUAAGGAGGGAGGAAUUUUCUUUUUAUCUUUUAAAAUUGCUUGGAAGUGUCUAUUUUCCGCUCGUUUCCUGAUGAAAAGAAGCAGCAAAUAAAGUCCAAAUACCACUAUUACUACUACUACAAUUACUAAUAUAUCUAUAUAUCUAUAUAUCUAUAUGUAUCUAUAUGUAUCUAUAUAUAGAUAUAUAUAAAUUGAAAGAAAAAAUAUAGAAAAGGCUAGACGGACUCGGCAGCGCUGCGGCGAGGUCGGCUUUCUUUUGGGGCCAAGCGUUGGGCUGGGCAGCACUGCUCCUGCUGCUAGAGCUUAUUUCACGGAGCAGAGUGCGGGCAGGAGCCUGCGCGCCCGCGGAAGAGCGGGGAGCAUCCCCGCGGCUGCGCCCUCGCCCCGAGUCCUCCCAUCCCCUCUUCACGUUCAAGGCUUAGCGGAGAGGUCGCGUCUACUGACGUCAGCUGAAGGCAUUCUGCACAUCCGUCUACACUUACAUGCAUUAACGAAAGUAGGGCAAGAAAAAAAAUAAAAAGAAGAAAAGGAUAUACAAAUUCCCCUGUUCGGAGAAGAGACCGCGGAUCCUGGGAGCGAUCGUCCCUAUUUGCAAAGAUCCUAAUUAGCGGGAAUUAGUGGGGCCUCCCCUUUUCUUCCAAAUAUCAUCAUCAUUAUCAACAAAACAAACAUCCCCGAAACGAGCGAUCGUGGCCGGGCGGCGGCGCGUAGAAGAGCCCAUAUGGGAGCGGACGGCCACGGUGUGUGAGCCGGAAUCCACUGUUGUGCUGUUCUCUUCUCCUUUUUCUGCUCCCGUUUACUCCAGCGUUUGUUACUUUUAAUACUGAUGCUUAUGUAAGGUAUAUUUGCAUUAUUUUUAAUUUACUGAAAAUUGCAGCCUACCACUUGUCCUUUGCUCCUCCCUUUCUAUUUCUUCAAAUACACUUCUCCUUUCCCCCACUCCCUCCUAUUUCCCCGUGUUUUGGUGAGACUGCAGCGUGCCUUUAUAUCCAGUUUCCUCCAUGCUUCUAUUCUGUAUAAGAUUACUGAUUAUGAACAAUGCUAGUUUUACAAAUCAAAGUGCAUAAGAUGUUUAUUGGACAUUAAAAAGGCUCGAGGGUCUUACUACCCUGGUCAGUUAUCACAACGCUAGCUGGAGACGGGAAGUUGAUUAUCUAAGUAACUUCCUAUUAAGAAAAGCAAGUUUUAGAAAUCACCAACACACCCCUCCUCUUCUGUCCCAUUUUAAGGUAUAAGGCAAUAUAGAUAAGGGGUGUAAUGGGGGCAAUUUAAAUGGAUUUUUAAAAUUUCAUUGCUGUUUUGCAGCCUCUAAGUGCACUUGUAUCUGCCUUUAUUUCAGAAAUAGUUUAUUUCAAAAUUCUUCCUUAAAAUAUGCAGAGCCAGGUACAGAGAGCUUUCUCUGAGGAAGACAUUUUUAAAUUAUUUUCUUAGGUGCCGCAUUAUUAAAUGUGUGACAUACGGUUUCUAAAAUGUGCAUGUUUGAAUCCAGCACCUAAUUUUUCAUAGAAAGAGCGUUUAGAUUUUUUUUUUAAAUACUGCUUGUAGCCUUACACCUGCUUUAUGUGAAAAUCCAUAGGCCUUGAAUUAUAUGACAAUCACAGGUAGCACAUUUCAGUUUACCUUAAUGUGUAAUGAAAAGAAAGAAGAGUAGUUUAAACAGUAAAACCAGAAGAUUGCUCUGUUUUUAUAGUCCAGGAAUGUUGUUUUUAAACGAACAACGUCAUUCAACUUAAAAAAAAUAUAAAGCCCAUUCAUAGAAUUUUUUUCUUUUUUGAAAGCUCAAGUGCAUGCGUAGGUUAUGAAUGACUUACCUGAAUGGACAUAUCGGGCAAAAGUUAUCCCUCCCCAAAGACUGUUACGUAUGUAUUUUUUAUAAUAAAGAUUGGAGUGUCUCUUA
Long non-coding RNA from Melospiza melodia melodia, 2886 nucleotides. RefSeq lists it as uncharacterized. The transcript has 2 exons. The record is from RefSeq and is a predicted model, not a curated record. NCBI's taxonomy places the organism in Eukaryota, Metazoa, Chordata, Aves, Passeriformes, Passerellidae.